RNAcentral lists this long non-coding RNA (2030 nucleotides) under Taeniopygia guttata (zebra finch). Its description in RNAcentral is "lncRNA (ENSTGUG00000024033.1)". Lineage: Eukaryota; Metazoa; Chordata; Aves; Passeriformes; Estrildidae. The record is from RNAcentral.
CUCUUACAGAAAGGCUGGAUUGCUCUCUUUGAGCCAGCACAUGGAUGAAAGUCUGCUAUCAAAGCCUCAUUUACCAAAGAGGUAGAUAGCAAUUUUAUGUAUUGAGGGAACAAAAAAAAACCAGCCUCACUCUUGGACACCUGCCUUUCAGAUACACAUUUGUCAGUCAGAGAACUGAGUGCUGCAGAUGCAAAGCAAACACUUUCAUGUCUUCUCUGAGUAUGUUUUAAGGCCAGUUUUCCUGCAUGGGUUUCCAUAAUGGUUAUUGUAUAUAAUUUUGUAGCUUCUGCAAGCUGUAAUUUGGUCCAGACCCCAUAGCUUCCAGAUGGUUUUGGAUAAAUAGGAGUUGAACACUUGUUAUAGAUGCUAUUCCAAAUAUCAUUUUCCCAUAUGCAGUGUUGCAUAUGUUGUUUGUGACAUACAGCUAAUGACAGAAAGCAGUAACACCACCAUUGCUGGAAGUGUUCCAAAGGCAUGUGGAUGUGGCACUUGGGGAUGUGGUUUGCUGGGGAACACGGUGGUGCUGAUUUAAUAGUUGGACUCGAUGAUGCAGAUAUUUUUCAGCCAUAGUACUGUUAUGAUUCUAUCAAUGCUUCCUGUAAAUGUUGCUUAUAUGUGUGAAGAAUGCCUCUCAAAAUGUGUAGUUAACAUCUGAACAUUUAGAUACUUUUCAGAGCCAGUGAAGACUUUUUUUUUUUUUUUAGAUACUGACCGAGCUUUAGUACUGCUGGAAGAAUAUUGCAAAAAACUGCGGAAGCCAGAAGAGCAGCAACUGAAAAAAGCCAUCAGAAAGGUGAUGGGCAUCUUUAAGAGCAGCUUGUUUCAGGCACUCCUAGCUCUCUGAAAGUGAAGAGAACAAAUUUCAAGUUAGAGUCUGAGAAGAUUAAUAGGGACAUCUGACUCUUGUGGGGGCAACAGUCCUCUCAUGUGGCAAUGCAUUAUGAGCAACAAAAAAGAAAUUGGAUGACGUUUCAGCCUCUCAGUGGUCGUUGACUCAGGACCAGAUCGAGCAGAGAAUAAGAGUUCAACUUCAGCUAUCAGCCUGCACCCUAGGACCAUUACUGACCACUACUGAUGCAUCACUUGCACCGUGGCACAUUUUGAUGUCCAGGAGAACUCAAUACUUCUGCCAUAAAGAAUGUGGACAUGAAGACCAGCUUGUAUAUUUCUGUCCCUGAAUGCCUUCCACUUGAGGAAAAACCUGUGUGCUUUUCGAAAAGGUCCCGAAACCUAAUUUAAAAGCAUCACCAGCAGGAAAAACCCAUCACGAAGUGGGAGAAAAUCUUGAACAUUAUUAAUUUGAAUCAUGGAGCUGUAUAGAAACAGAUAUUGAUACAAUGCGGCUAACGUGUGACAGAGUACCAAAUGGACGUCCUUUGAGAAGUCAGUUCUAACUUCCCUAAGUCAUCAGUUCUCUCUUAGUAGGCCAUAUUUUUUAGGGAAUAGCUCAACAUGUGUAUCAGUCCUAAAUUCUUUUAAGCUGCAUAUUUCUUUUGGAGUGAAAAUCUGAGACAGUGUAGCCCAUGAAUUGCUGUGAAGACAUCGAAGCCACAUUCCUCACUUUUAAGGGACUGGUGUGGUGGCAUACAGGAGCCUAAUGUUCCAUGCAAUUUGUGAUUUUCCACUUUCCUGAAGAAAUAAUUCUGUUUGUAGUUUUAUGAACUUGCAGUCUUGAAUACACAGUACUGCAAGUCACAAUUUUAUCUAUAGGCUGUUCCAUCUUGAAUGAAGAAAUACUAUAUGUUGUUAAAACCCUGAUCUCCAAGAGUUUGUAAAAAAAAUUAAUGAUGUCUGACUUAAAAUGUAAUUUUUAAAAGUUGAACAUUUAUUAUUAAAACUUCUUUCAAAAAAAAAAAAAAAAAGGGUAUAAUUUUUGUGCAUUAAUGCUUGUCUGGGAGACACUGGAAGUAUUUCUUCUGAAAGAAGAAUACCUGUAGUCACAAGCCUGAAGAAGUGGUGCUGUAGAUGGAUGGAUGCUUUGAGCUUAUUUGCAUGUGUUGAAGUUUUUCCAGGUGAAAAGCCCUGACUGG